Long non-coding RNA from Pectinophora gossypiella (pink bollworm), 1103 nucleotides. RefSeq lists it as uncharacterized. The transcript is spliced from 2 exons. NCBI's taxonomy places the organism in Eukaryota, Metazoa, Arthropoda, Insecta, Lepidoptera, Gelechiidae. The record is from RefSeq and is a predicted model, not a curated record.
AACACAUCUAGGUCAUACUUCCAUCAAUCUGCUUCAAGAUGGAACUAUAAAUAAUUCAAACCCACACCGUUACAAAACGCGUAUUGUAAGUCUGCUAAAAAUUACGCCACGAUGCUCCAGCAAGGCGAACACGCAAAUAGCACGUUUAUCAUCCUCCAGAGACGUAAAUCCAAGACAGGGCCGUAACCAGUAGCUGGAGAAAUCCAGAUUUGACAUUGAUUUUUUAAAUUAAACAUUUAUAAAAAAUAUAAAAGUAUUUAUAACUUAAGUUGUUUGUUAUAUCUUUGUUAGUAAACAAGCUCGUUUGGCCGAUGAAUAAAGGGCCCCAAGAAUAACAACGUAAACAAAGAAAAAGAUAAAUAUAAAUACUGCUUGUAAGACUUUACCUAUGUUAAAAAAUGUUGCGCGCGUAAUUAAUGCGUUCGCGUCACGUUACAGAAAAUAGAUUUUGAAAUGUCGCGUAAUUCUUUAAAACAAUGUAGGAGCUCAGUAGUCGCCAGUGGACCGCCCCCGAGAAUACACCACCGACACCACAAUGAAUUCCGCGGAAGGAGUGAAUCUCGUAGCCACCUACUGCAUCCUGCUGCUACUCUUAGUAUCACUCUGGUUGCUGUACUCAGCUUUCUAACACUGUAAUGGCCGAGAAUCAACUCAAGAAAUGAGACCAAUGGCCGAGAUGGGCAUGGAGACAGAACAUGUACAUUAGUAUAAGAAACCGUAAUUUUAGUAAUAAGGUUUAAUUUAAGCGAUGUUAUUUACAAGCAUUUAUUAAGACCAAACUCAGCAGCUCACAAACCACAAAAACUACGUCAAAGAUAGACACAGAAACAACAAUAAAAAAAAAACACAGAUCAUCGAAGGAACUUGAAGGUUGAAGAAUAAUUUGAAAAUGGAAACACAGAAGAAAAUAAUUUUGGAAAACAAGUAAAAAUAGAUGUUUACCCAUGUAAAAGAAGUGAACCAAAUCGUUGCUGGGCAUUCCAAAGUAUUUAUAAAGACAACAGUCGAAUGAAACAACCAAAUAUUAUCUUUUGGUGCCAAACAUCUGUUAUUUAUAUCGUUGUUGUAAAUUAAGGGUUUUGUAAUAAAGAUCUUCUUUUUUA